GAAAUACUAAGUCAUGGCUUGAACCAGUGAUGGAGCACCUGGUGGGAAGGCAGGUUCAACCCAUUGCACACACCUGAGUGACAGGAAGGGGUGGAGCCAGGACCCUCCCCUUCCCAGACCUCAUUUAAGGGUUGGCAGUGGAAACAGGAAUCUUGCUGGAGUUCCAUGUGUACCUGAGGCCUUCUAAAGAAACAGACACCAAAGCUCGGAUUCAGAAAGCCUAUUAGGAUUUGUCGUGCUGAAUGUUGUGGCACCUGCAAUUUGAUCUCCCUCGCUGAGCUGUGUCCCUGAGAGACUUCAGCUUGUGAUAGAUUCUGAAACAAGGAGGGAUGGGAAUAUUUUCCAGACUCUGAUUAUUUCUUAUUGACAUGGAUGUCAAACCUUUUGGCUUGCCUGGGCCACACUGAGUGAAGAUGAAUUGCCUAGAACUGCAUCCGUGAAGGUUGCUCCAAAAGUAAUGCCUCUUAUUUAUUUCCUUGGAAACUAGGACUGAUCCCAAUUGCAAAAUAACACUACCUUAUGGAAUGAAUUCUCAGCUGCAGUACGCUAUUUUUUUUUCAAAGAGUCACCGUCAUAAGCUUUGCAUUUUUGCCAGCAAUGAACAAGAGCAUACAUCCUGCACUUGUAACAAUAUGAACCAGUGGAGGUGACCUGCUGUCACCGCUGCUGAAACGCACCACCCACUGCGUCGCUGUGAUCACAUCCACUGAUUGGUCUCCAUAAAUGUUGAGCAAGCAUUGAUGAAUGUCAGUGGGUUCUAUUUUUUUCUGUGUGGAGGAAUUCAGUGACACACCUCUGCUUCAUCUGCACUUCCAUGCCAGACACCAUUGUGUCAGACUGCCCCUCUGCUGCCAUCUGUCGCAUCGCAUCAGCAUGGAAUGGAAUACUGGUGGGAAGGUUCAGCCCCUACUUCCGUAUCACCAACAUCCACCUUUGUCAUUGUGGGAUGACAUGAUGUGAGAUCAUGAAGUAGGCGGUAUUACUUUCGGAGUGGCUCGCAUAAAAUAUAUAAUAUAGUUAAUAUAUAUAAGGAACAAAACUUAUUUUAUUUUUAAUGGUUUUUGUUGUUGUUGUUGUUUGGUUGUUUGUUUUAGUAUUGUUAAAACAUAAAAAAAGGAAAGCAAGAGAAACAGAGAAGCAGACUGGAAAUUAUUGUGCUGGUUGUGACAAAGUAGGACACAAAGAUAGCAUUGUGGGCUGUAGAUGACACUGAGUGCCUAAUAAUUUUGUUUGGCAUUGCAUACAUUUAGAUUAUCAUACAACCAUAGAAAUUGUGUCAUAUAUUAUUACUUACAAUGAUUUUAUAUGACCUGCCAGGUAACAAAGAGUGCAUGAAAUUGAUCAGUGUUUACUUCUGAUUCAUGUAGGGAAGGGCCAUGUAACAAUAGUAGAGAAAGGUGUCUGAGCUGCUAGAAUAAAUUACACAACCUGCAACCCCAUCCAUUACCAGAAGCUAAAAUGUCUCUGGGACAUAUCCCAGUGAUACCUAGCUGCCUCUGAGAACACGAGCAGUGGUAAGGCUGUGGUCUGCACUGGUUGUACUGAUGGAUAGAUGUAUGGUUAUAUUUUGUCCUUCCCACUGCUGUUCUCCACAG
Long non-coding RNA from Gallus gallus (chicken), 1595 nucleotides. The record is from Ensembl. NCBI's taxonomy places the organism in Eukaryota, Metazoa, Chordata, Aves, Galliformes, Phasianidae.